UACGUAGGUGGCGAACGUUAUCCGGAGUAACUGGGUGUAAAGGGUCCGUAGGCGGACCUUCAAGUCUGACGUGAAAGCGCCCGGCUCAACUGGGCGAGUGCGUUGGAAACUGGAGGCCUUGACUCACGCAGAGGUCGGCGGAAUUCCCGGUGUAGUGGUGGAAUGCGUAGAGAUCGGGAGGAACCUCGAAAGCGAAGGCAGCCGACUGGGCGCUGAGUGACGCUGAGGGACGAAAGCGUGGGGAGCGAACAGGAUUAGAUACCCCAGUAGUCC
Molecule: ribosomal RNA, 273 nt
Filed under: uncultured bacterium
Lineage: Bacteria
Description: partial 16S ribosomal RNA
Rfam family: Bacterial small subunit ribosomal RNA
Source: RNAcentral